Molecule: transfer-messenger RNA, 367 nt
Filed under: Chengkuizengella axinellae
Lineage: Bacteria; Bacillati; Bacillota; Bacilli; Caryophanales; Paenibacillaceae
Rfam family: transfer-messenger RNA
About the family: Bacterial tmRNA, also known as 10Sa RNA or SsrA, is named for its dual tRNA and mRNA-like properties.
Source: RNAcentral
GGGGGCGUUUAUGGAUUCGACGGGGAUAGUUUGAGCAUGAGUAGCGGGUAGUGGGGACGCGUCCACUUCAUCAACGCUAAAGCCUAUUUAAACGGCAAACAAAACAACAACUUAGCUUUAGCUGCUUAAUAACCAGCGGGCUAGCUCUAACCUUCCAUCGCCCAUGUGGCAGGAUUAGGGCUCAACUUUAGUGGGCUACGCCGUUUGAUCUCCGUCUGAGGUCAGCGGAAGAAGACAAUCAGACUAGUUUAAACAGUAGCGGGUUGCUUGGCGGCUGUUUAAGCGAAACUUUCUCAAGCAACUACACCCGUAGAAGCUUAUGUGGCGAUAUUUUCGGACAGGGGUUCGACUCCCCUCGCCUCCACCA